AUCGCUUCUUGGCCUUUUGGCUAAGAUCAAUUGUAGUAUCUGUUCUUAUCAGUUUAAUAUAUAUUUCCAAAUUUUUCAGGUGGAUGCCCCAAAGAGGGAUUUCUGGGUUAUAUGGUAGCUCUAUUCUCAAUUUUUUUUUUGAGGAACUUUCAUACUGUUAACAUAGCGGCUGUAACAAUUUACAUUCCCACCAGCAGUGCAUGAGGGUUCCCUUU
This 215-nucleotide small nuclear RNA is filed under the name Myotis davidii. RNAcentral's name for it is "U2 spliceosomal RNA". It matches the Rfam family "U2 spliceosomal RNA". Rfam says of the family: U2 is a small nuclear RNA (snRNA) component of the spliceosome (involved in pre-mRNA splicing). Lineage: Eukaryota; Metazoa; Chordata; Mammalia; Chiroptera; Vespertilionidae. The record is from Rfam by way of RNAcentral.